This 103-nucleotide microRNA precursor is filed under the name Marmota monax (woodchuck). Lineage: Eukaryota; Metazoa; Chordata; Mammalia; Rodentia; Sciuridae. The record is from RNAcentral.
AGUUCAAUUUCUGUGUCAUAUAGUAGUUCUGUGUUUAGUUUUAUAAGACACUGCCAAACUGUUUUCCAGAGUGGCUACACCAUUUUACAUUUCCACCAGCAAU